GACGAACGCUGGCGGCGUGCCUAAUACAUGCAAGUCGAACGAGAGCGACCGGUGCUUGCACUGGUCAAUCUAGUGGCGAACGGGUGAGUAACACGUGGGUAACCUGCCCAUCAGAGGGGGAUAACAUCCGGAAACGGAUGCUAAAACCGCAUAGGUCUUCGAACCGCAUGGUUUGAAGAGGAAAAGAGGCGCAAGCUUCUGCUGAUGGAUGGACCCGCGGUGCAUUAGCUAGUUGGUGAGGUAACGGCUCACCAAGGCCGUGAUGCAUAGCCGACCUGAGAGGGUGAUCGGCCACAUUGGGACUGAGACACGGCCCAAACUCCUACGGGAGGCAGCAGUAGGGAAUCUUCCGCAAUGGACGCAAGUCUGACGGAGCAACGCCGCGUGAGUGAAGAAGGUUUUCGGAUCGUAAAACUCUGUUGUUAGAGAAGAACAAGUGCUAGAGUAACUGUUAGCGCCUUGACGGUAUCUAACCAGAAAGCCACGGCUAACCACGUG
RNAcentral lists this ribosomal RNA (498 nucleotides) under uncultured bacterium. RNAcentral describes it as "partial 16S ribosomal RNA". It matches the Rfam family "Bacterial small subunit ribosomal RNA", at positions 28 to 507 of the family's 1533-position model. The record is from RNAcentral.